RNAcentral lists this ribosomal RNA (392 nucleotides) under uncultured bacterium. RNAcentral describes it as "bacterial SSU rRNA". It matches the Rfam family "Bacterial small subunit ribosomal RNA", at positions 28 to 424 of the family's 1533-position model. The record is from RNAcentral.
GACGAACGCUGGCGGCGUGCUUAACACAUGCAAGUCGAGCGGUAAGGCCCUUUCGGGGGUACACGAGCGGCGAACGGGUGAGUAACACGUGGGUGACCUGCCUCUAGCUCUGGGAUAAGCCCGGGAAACUGGGUCUAAUACUGGAUAUGACUCCAUGACGCAUGUUGUGGGGUGGAAAGCCUUGUGCGGCUAGAGAUGGGCCCGCGGCCUAUCAGCUUGUUGGUGGGGUGAUGGCCUACCAAGGCGACGACGGGUAGCCGGCCUGAGAGGGCGACCGGCCACACUGGGACUGAGACACGGCCCAGACUCCUACGGGAGGCAGCAGUGGGGAGUCUUGCGCAAUGGGCGAAAGCCUGACGCAGCGACGCCGCGUGAGGGAUGACGGCCUGGUU